CUGCCACAAGAAAAUCGCUGGUUACCCAGAGCAGUUGUGCCCUGAUACCAGACUGAAAGGAUUUCAACAAAUUAUUAGAAGUUAAGCUAUUGGUGAGCUGGGAGGCUACAACAUGCUCGAGAACUUUUCACAGGAAAGAUCAAACGUUACCAGCUACACAAAAUGGGACUAAGCAGAAAUCCACAUGCAGUGGGAAACAUGUCCUCCUCACAUCAACCUAAAACAGAAUACUGCCCUUGAGCCCAGAAUGGAAUUAAAAUUGUGAUGACGUUUAUGGAAAGAGCAGCCACAGGAAGCAGAGGACAUGCUUAUUUCAGGGCUCUCACACACUUAAACUUGAGCUGCUCACCGUCUUGUCUAUUCAGUGUUCAUCCUUUCAUACACCGUCUCUGCAACGUCAGUUGUGCCGCACGAGGGCUAAAGAUCUUAAAUACGGUGCACUACAAGCCUCCACUCCAAGAAGUCUGAAUGUUCAUUCUUAUUGAUAGCAAAAGAAAACAGAGGCACAAGUAGUCACUUCUGAAAUAAACCUGAUAUGAAAUUCAUUUUGCGUGUUGGGGGCAGCAGAGAUGAUUAAUCUUAAUAAUCACUUUGCACUAAGCACUUGGAGCUACAUUUUAUGUAUGAAAAUGUGCUAUAUAAAUAAAUAAUGUUGUUGUUGUUGUUAAUAUUUUCUUGUAUUAAUGUUGUGCUUUCAAAUGGCAAAAUCUUCCAUCAAACCACCUGAAGAGUGAGAAGCGCAAUAACGGUGACAGAGGGGCUCUGCUUUUCAGGCUGGGCAGCAAAGGCCACUGGGGCUACAAGAUGUUCUCCAGAAGAGUGGUUGUGCAGA
Molecule: long non-coding RNA, 832 nt
Organism: Polypterus senegalus (gray bichir)
Lineage: Eukaryota; Metazoa; Chordata; Cladistia; Polypteriformes; Polypteridae
Exons: 3
Source: RefSeq, a predicted model, not a curated record